Molecule: ribosomal RNA, 253 nt
Filed under: uncultured bacterium
Lineage: Bacteria
Description: partial 16S ribosomal RNA
Rfam family: Bacterial small subunit ribosomal RNA
Source: RNAcentral
UACGUAGGGUGCGAGCGUUGUCCGGAUUUAUUGGGCGUAAAGAGCGUGUAGGCGGCCAGGUAGGUCUGCUGUGAAAACUCGAGGCUCAACCUCGAGACGUCGGCGGAAACCAUCUGGCUAGAGUCCGGAAGAGGAGAGUGGAAUUCCUGGUGUAGCGGUGAAAUGCGCAGAUAUCAGGAAGAACACCCGUGGCGAAGGCGGCUCUCUGGGACGGUACUGACGCUGAGACGCGAAAGCGUGGGGAGCAAACAGG